GGCUCAGGAUGAACGCUAGCGGGAGGCUUAACACAUGCAAGUCGAGGGGCAGCACGAGGUAGCAAUACUUUGGUGGCGACCGGCGCACGGGUGAGUAACACGUAUGCAACCUACCCUGUACAGGGGGAUAGCCCGGAGAAAUUCGGAUUAAUACCCCAUAAAGAUAUUUUGAGGCAUCUUGAGAUAUUUAAAGUUUAGGCGGUACGGGAUGGGCAUGCGCAACAUUAGCUAGUUGGUAGGGUAACGGCCUACCAAGGCGACGAUGUUUAGGGGACCUGAGAGGGUGAUCCCCCACACUGGUACUGAGACACGGACCAGACUCCUACGGGAGGCAGCAGUGAGGAAUAUUGGUCAAUGGGCGAGAGCCUGAACCAGCCAUCCCGCGUGAAGGAAGACUGCCCUAUGGGUUGCAAACUUCUUUUCCAGGGGAAUAAAAUGGACUACGCGUAGUUCACUGAAGGUACCCUGGGAAUAAGCAUCGGCUAACUCCGUGCCAGCAGCCGCGGUAAUACGGAGGAUGCGAGCGUUAUCCGGAUUUAUUGGGUUUAAAGGGUGCGUAGGCGGAUUAAUAAGUCAGUGGUGAAACCCUGCAGCUUAACUGUAGACUUGCCAUUGAUACUGUUAGUCUUGAGUACGGUCAAGGUAGGCGGAAUGUGUAAUGUAGCGGUGAAAUGCUUAGAUAUUACACAGAACACCGAUUGCGAAGGCAGCUUACUGGGCCGCAACUGACGCUGAUGCACGAAAGCGUGGGGAGCGAACAGGAUUAGAUACCCUGGUAGUCCACGCCGUAAACGAUGAUCACUCGCUGUUGGCGAUACACAGUCAGCGGCUAAGCAAAAGCAUUAAGUGA
Molecule: ribosomal RNA, 850 nt
Filed under: uncultured bacterium
Lineage: Bacteria
Description: bacterial SSU rRNA
Rfam family: Bacterial small subunit ribosomal RNA
Source: RNAcentral